This 332-nucleotide unclassified non-coding RNA is filed under the name soil metagenome. Its description in RNAcentral is "partial contains 5.8S ribosomal RNA, internal transcribed spacer 2, and large subunit ribosomal RNA". The stretch from base 1 to 120 matches the Rfam family "5.8S ribosomal RNA", at positions 35 to 154 of the family's 154-position model. The record is from RNAcentral.
GAUGAAGAACGUAGUAAAAUGCGAUAAGUAAUGUGAAUUGCAGAAUUCAGUGAAUCAUCGAAUCUUUGAACGCACAUUGCGCCCGCCAGUAUUCUGGCGGGCAUGUCUGUUCGAGCGUCAUUUCAACCCUCAAGCACAGCUUGGUGUUGGGACUCGCGUUAAUUCGCGUUCCCCAAAUUGAUUGGCGGUCACGUCGAGCUUCCAUAACGUAGUAGUAAAACCCUCGUUACUGGUAAUCGUCGCGGCCACGCCGUUAAACCCCAACUUCUGAAUGUUGACCUCGGAUCAGGUAGGAAUACCCGCUGAACUUAAGCAUAUCAAUAAGCGGAGGA